RNAcentral lists this long non-coding RNA (893 nucleotides) under Lathyrus oleraceus (garden pea). RNAcentral's name for it is "Pisum sativum (pea) long non-coding RNA (PSAT_LNC010084)". The record is from RNAcentral. Lineage: Eukaryota; Viridiplantae; Streptophyta; Magnoliopsida; Fabales; Fabaceae.
UAACUAACCAUCUUUAAAUAUUGAUAAAUUGACAAGUAUAACAAGGAUUCAUACAAGUGAUGCAAAUACACCCCUAAUUUUCAACAAUAGAUUUAUUGAAUAACAUAAAUAAAUUCCAACCUAUCGAAUAUAGUUCUGACUAUGUCGAUAUAAAAAGUGAUGUAACAUAAAUAUCCCCACAAUAUAAAGUUUUCGACGUACAAGUGACAGGUUUGUAUUAUUUUCUGAAGAAGUGAGCUAGUGAGCAUCAGUUCUCCCGAGUUCCAUCGUCGCAAACAUGAAAACUUACAUGAAACAAAUACAAGUAGCCAACGAUCCUGGCAACGAACUCUGCUCUUGAAAUUCAUUAGACCCGUUGAAACUUCGACUGCUCCAAUUAUAUAUAAAUAAUAACAAAUAAUGAAAUAUGAUAGUAAUGUACAAAAUCUUCAAAUCCUGUCUGGCUUUGGCAUUAUAGCUGUCCAAAAUAAUCUUUAGCGGAUCUAAAUUAAGAGACAGGGCUUGUUUCCAGUGGCGCUCAAAUAAGGUUGAUGGUGAAGGAAACAUAUGGAUGUGUAUCCGCCUCACCUGCUAGGUUAGCCAUUCCAGCCCCAACCUCUUCAUCAGUUUUCCAGUAUGCACUGCACACAAAUUUAUUGAAGGUACAAUAUUACAAUGUAAGAAUAGUCUAUCUAAUUAAGAGAUAAAAAUUACAAAAACAGAAACAAAUAAAUAUUGUCUGUAUGUAUCAAAACACGAGUGGAAAGCAAGAUCUGUUAGAAUUAGGAAAGAAAGAGAAAGAGGAAUUCUGUUAUUCUAUUCAUAUUAUAAAGAAGUUACAGUAGGUGCUUAUUUAUACUAGCAAGAGUAACAAACUAUAACAAAUAGAAUGACAGCUAAGCAUAUUAACAAAU